UCGGGAAUUUUGGGCAAUGGGCGAAAGCCUGACCCAGCAACGCCGCGUGAAGGAUGAAGUAUUUCGGUAUGUAAACUUCGAAAGAAUAGGAGGAAUAAAUGACGGUACUAUUUAUAAGGUCCGGCUAACUACGUGCCAGCAGCCGCGGUAAUACGUAGGGACCAAGCGUUGUUCGGAUUUACUGGGCGUAAAGGGCGCGUAGGCGGCAAUUCAAGUCAUCUGUGAAAUCUCCGGGCUUAACUCGGAACGGUCAGAUGAUACUGCUUUGCUAGAGUGCAGAAGGGGCAAUCGGAAUUCUUGGUGUAGCGGUGAAAUGCGUAGAUAUCAAGAGGAACACCUGAGGUGAAGACGGGUUGCUGGGCUGACACUGACGCUGAGGCGCGAAAGCCAGGGGAGCAAACGGGAUUAGAUACCCAAGUAGUCCCUGAGCGGGCUGGCAAGGCGCAU
This 447-nucleotide ribosomal RNA is filed under the name uncultured bacterium. RNAcentral describes it as "bacterial SSU rRNA". It matches the Rfam family "Bacterial small subunit ribosomal RNA", at positions 355 to 825 of the family's 1533-position model. The record is from RNAcentral.